CGGAGUGCUUCAUGGUAAAUGAAGUUCAUUUUAUGUCACGCUACCAGCAAGACACGUGGAAAGUGCUCAGUGCUGUUUGUGACUAAUGCGCCGAUUACUAAUACUACAAAUAUUUCUUAUGAAAAACAUAAAAUAAAUUCAUCUAAAAAAUAAAAAAAGAUGGAUACUUUCAAUCAAACCAACUCUUCAAGGAAUGUAAACACCACCACUGCAUUGAAUCAAAAUAUGGACAAGAUCAUCGGUUUGGCCUUAAUUGUCAUUCUUUUUAUCACCAUGGUGUCUCUUGGUUGCACAAUGGAGAUCUCAAAGAUCAAGAAUCAUCUCACCAAACCCAAAGGGGUGGCAAUUGCAGUUUUGGCUCAAUAUGGUAUAAUGCCCCUCACAGCCUUCUGCCUAGCAAAGCUGUUUCAUUUAGGUGCUAUGGAGAGCAUAUCUGUGUUAAUUUGUGGAUGCUGUCCUGGAGGAAACAUCUCAAACAUCUUUACUCUGGCCCUCCAGGGAGACAUGAACCUCAGUGUUGUGAUGACUAUGUGCUCCACAGCACUGGGAUUGGUUAUGAUGCCCCUCCUGCUCUUAGUGUACAGCCUGGGUUUCCCAAACCUGGUGGAGUAUGUUCCUUUCAUUUGGAUCACUUUGACCCUGAUUUUGAUUCUGGUUCCCUGCGGUAUUGGGAUCCUGAUCAACUACCGAGUGCCCCAGUAUUCUAAGAUCAUCAUCCAGGUUGGGUUGAUGAUCUUGCUGAUCUCCUUUGUUGUCAUUGCUGUUCUUGCUGGUAUAACUGGUGGAAGAAAAAUUUUCACAGUGCUAUCUCCUCAGCUUAUAGCCACAGCUGCAUUGAUGCCAUUGACUGGAUACAUAUGUGGAUAUUUCCUGUCCACUCUGUUCAGGAUGAAUGCACCGUAUUUGCAGACGGACUGUUUCUGUGGAGGUAGGCUGUCAGAACAUCCAACUGUGUUCCACAAUCCUGAAGGUGGCAUUUCCUGAUGAGUACAUGGGUCAGCUGUAUUUCUUUCCUCUUAUCUACCUUGUGUUCCAGAUAAUUGAGGCUCUUAUCUUCAUAGUCCUGUUCAGAUGCCAUCAGAAGCUGAGACCAUCCCAAGAAAUACAAGUGUACACAGCAGUGGUGCCUACCCCCUGACAGUGACAUCUUAGGGGACUCUAUAGUGCUUGUUAAGCUGAAAAAGCAAUGUUAUGACCAAAUAUCAUAUAUGCUGAACGGUUUUAUUCCACUUUUAUAGAAGAGUAAACAGAUGAAACAGUAGGUGCAGAACAGAAUGGCCAGUGUUAAAAUAAUUUUUGUUUACAUUGAAAUACUGCUAGUAACAAUAAAUUUGACUGUAGAACCUAAUUGUUCUUUUGUACUGUCAUCUAGUCUUAACUGAAACACUUAUAAUUGUUUUAAUGCCAUAUAAAUAAUAAAAUACACUAUAGACCUACCCUAAUAAAAUGAAAUGAACUUUUUUUUUGUAGUAGAAGUUUAAAAGUAGUGGUUUUCAUCCAGGUUAUGUAAUUGGAGGAUUUGUGUACUGUAUAACAGGCUAUGUUUUCAUAUAGAGGGUUCGAUGAGAAUACACUGUUUAUGAACCUUUUUUAUAUAUAUAUAAUGCCAUCUAAAAUAAAAAACAUCUUCCACACCUA
Molecule: RNA transcript, 1638 nt
Organism: Megalobrama amblycephala (Wuchang bream)
Lineage: Eukaryota; Metazoa; Chordata; Actinopteri; Cypriniformes; Xenocyprididae
Gene: slc10a1
Gene name: solute carrier family 10 member 1
Exons: 6
Source: RefSeq, a predicted model, not a curated record